This 602-nucleotide ribosomal RNA is filed under the name uncultured freshwater bacterium. Its description in RNAcentral is "bacterial SSU rRNA". It matches the Rfam family "Bacterial small subunit ribosomal RNA", at positions 8 to 603 of the family's 1533-position model. The record is from RNAcentral.
AGAGUUUGAUCCUGGCUCAGAUUGAACGCUGGCGGCAUGCCUUACACAUGCAAGUCGAACGGCAGCACGGGUGCUUGCACCUGGUGGCGAGUGGCGAACGGGUGAGUAAUAUAUCGGAACGUACCUNUAUCGUGGGGGAUAACGCAGCGAAAGCUGCGCUAAUACCGCAUACGCCCUGAGGGGGAAAGCGGGGGACCGUAAGGCCUCGCGCGAUUAGAGCGGCCGAUAUCUGAUUAGCUUGUUGGUGGGGUAAAAGCCCACCAAGGCGACGAUCAGUAGCUGGUCUGAGAGGACGAUCAGCCACACUGGGACUGAGACACGGCCCAGACUCCUACGGGAGGCAGCAGUGGGGAAUUUUGGACAAUGGGGGCAACCCUGAUCCAGCAAUGCCGCGUGAGUGAAGAAGGCCUUCGGGUUGUAAAGCUCUUUUGUCAGGGAAGAAACAGCAGCUCUAACACAGUCUGCGAAUGACGGUACCUGAAGAAUAAGCACCGGCUAACUACGUGCCAGCAGCCGCGGUAAUACGUANGGUGCAAGCGUUAAUCGGAAUUACUGGGCGUAAAGCGUGCGCAGGCGGUUAUACAAGACAGGCGUGAAAUCCC